GGAGGAGGAGGAGGAGGAGGAGGAGGGAGUAGAGGCAGCUGAAGAAGAGGAAAUGACGAUAGAAGAACAACCAGAGCUGGAAGGAGGCGGAGCUAAACCCCAUGCUGCAUCUGGGUUUCUGGUUCCAGUUCGUGGCUUUUUGUGUCGAUUCUGUAAUAAAUUCUUCAAAGAAGAAGCUGCAGGAGAACACACACACCCUGUGUGAAGAAUGCAUCUGGGCCUUCGGCAGGUGGUGGAACCAGGAACGUCUUUCACCCCUCGACAGCCCCUCAGCGCUCUGGUCACGUGCACGCCCCUCUGGUCACGUGCGCUGUCCUGUGUGGCGCUGUGGAGGAGCUCCACCCUGAACGGCUUGCCGGGAUUUGAACCGUCAGCCGUGUCUCUUUGACGAACUUCAGCUGAACCCAGCGGAACCUGAACCCGGCUCAGAGCAGAACCCUGCAGAACCCGGCUCAGAGGAGAACCCUGCAGAACCCGGCUCAGAGGAGAACCCUGCAGAACCCGGCUCAGAGCAGAACCCUGCAGAACCCGGCUCAGAGGA
This is a long non-coding RNA of Salarias fasciatus (jewelled blenny), 541 nucleotides long. RefSeq lists it as uncharacterized. NCBI's taxonomy places the organism in Eukaryota, Metazoa, Chordata, Actinopteri, Blenniiformes, Blenniidae. The record is from RefSeq and is a predicted model, not a curated record. The transcript is spliced from 4 exons.